This is a long non-coding RNA of Otolemur garnettii (small-eared galago), 1670 nucleotides long. RefSeq lists it as uncharacterized. Lineage: Eukaryota; Metazoa; Chordata; Mammalia; Primates; Galagidae. The record is from RefSeq and is a predicted model, not a curated record. The transcript has 3 exons.
UCUCAACGCAGGAACGUCCACCUUUGCAAGACGGGAAAAUAUGGAUUCUGCGGGGCCGACAGACUAAGUGAGACAUUUAUCAAGGGGCCCCAGAUUCUCCUCCUUUUAUCUGAUAGAUGUUUGUGAGUGUCCACUGGGAUCAAGGCUCUAUGAUGGGUGAAGAAGACAGACAGAAAUUCCUGUGUACCGUCAGCUCCUGGGCUGGUUUUCCCUCAUGCACUGAAGACCUCUUCCCCCAGAAGGCUGGCCGUUCCGCUGUGUGCUUCUGCAUGUGGAAGCCACAAAUACACGUCACUUCAGCUCCAGUUCUGUCCUCAGAUCCCAGAGUGUUCACUCACACUAGCUUGCAACAUGGACCCUGGCAGUGAAGUCUUUCUCCUUAAGCCUCAAAUUCCUCAUCGGUAAAAUGACAAUAACUCUACCUACUUGAGAGGUUUGCUGGGAGACCUACGUGAGAUAAGGGAUGUAAGACUCCUAGCUCACAUUACCUGGCAUGUGGAAGGCACCAAAUACACAAAUGUUGUUUUCUAUAACCCUGGUUUUAGUACAGAUUACCAGGCAUGUGAUAAUAUGGUUACUUGGUAAAUGUUUUUGGAUUGGAAAGAUGUGGUAUGUUGUGGAAAUAUUAAUCAGGAUUUUCUUGAGAGGAAAAGAACCAAUAGGCUAUCUAUACAUCUAUACAACUCUCUCUCCCUUUCUCUCUCUCUAUCAGGAGAUUGAUUUAUCUUAAGGAGUUGGCUCGUGGGAUUGCAGGUAUGGGCCAGUCCGAAAUCCAGAGGGUAGGCUGUGUGAUUGGAAAUCCAAAUAAGAAUUGAUGUUGCAGUCUUGAGUCUGAAAUCUGCAGGCUGGCCGGCAUGCUGAGAGCUCAGGCGGGGUUUCUAUGUUGCAGUCUUUGGGCCGAGUAGUUUCUUCCUUGGGAGGCCUGAGCCUCGGUCUUCGCUCUUAAGGCCUUCAACCGAUUGGAUGAAGCCUGCCCCCAUUGUGGAGGGGUAUAUGCUUUACUUAAAGUCUCCUGAUUGUAAAUGUUAAUCACAUCCACAAAUACCUUCCCUGCAACAUCUACAGUAGUGUUUGACCAAACGACUGGCACCAUAGCCUAGCCGAGUUGACGUGUGACACUAACCAUCACAGUGGGGAAACCGUACACUGAGGGACAUCCCCUCCCCCACUGAAGCUCUGGCCAGUGCUCUUUCUGGAUUCACUCAUGUCUGGUGUCUUUUUCCUCUCUUUGGAAGCUACAUAUGAUGCAGGAAAUUUGAGGCCGUGAUGUAUUAAGCAGGUUUGUUGUAACAUCCUUAUCCCUCUGGGGCAGGUGACUGCUGAAGGAACGAAAUGGGGUGAGAUGAUGAGGGAAGGGAAGUCGCAUUUACUGCCCCAGCUGCUCCCCUCUCCCCACAGAGGGGACUUCUCUAGGCUUCAUUGUCCUUGAUGUUUCUGUAAAGGAUCAUGAGUAGCUUUGUGAGUGUGGUUUGAGAAACUAGUGGUGCACCUAGAGAUAGGACAGCAAAAUAUUUCAUUUCACAGAGUCAGCAGAGGGAAAAAGAGAGAAAAAAGUGAUGAAAACACGGGCCAGUUGUGAGUUGAUGUCUCCAAAGGUUCAAUGGUUCUUCAUACAAAAGUGUUUGUGUGGCCAGGUGCUGUGGCUCCCGCCUGUAAUCCUAGCAGGCCGA